GAUGAACGCUGACAGAAUGCUUAACACAUGCAAGUCUUUGGCGAAGCUGUGCUUGCACAGCCUAGCCAAGGCGGACGGGUGAGUAACGCGUCAGGAACUUGCCCUGCAGUCAGGGAUAACAGACGGAAACGACUGAUAAGACCUGGUAAAGUCAGGCGGACUCAUGUCCAGCCUGAUGAAAAGAGAUGCUGCAGGAGAGCCUUGCGUCCUAUUAGCUUGUUGGUGGGGUAACGGCCCACCAAGGCGAUGAGAGGUAGCCGGCCUGAGAGGGUGGACGGCCACAAGGGGACUGAGAUACGGCCCUUACUCCUACGGGAGGCAGCAGUGGGGAAUAGUGGACAAUGGGGGCAACCCUGAUCCAGAAAUUCUGUGUGCACGAUGAAGGUUUUCGGAGUGUAAAGUGCUUUCAGCAGGGAAGAAAAAAAUGACGGUACCUGCAGAAGAAGCGACGGCUAAAUACGUG
RNAcentral lists this ribosomal RNA (463 nucleotides) under uncultured bacterium. Its description in RNAcentral is "partial 16S ribosomal RNA". It matches the Rfam family "Bacterial small subunit ribosomal RNA", at positions 28 to 507 of the family's 1533-position model. The record is from RNAcentral.